This 245-nucleotide ribosomal RNA is filed under the name uncultured bacterium. RNAcentral describes it as "partial 16S ribosomal RNA". It matches the Rfam family "Bacterial small subunit ribosomal RNA", at positions 524 to 768 of the family's 1533-position model. The record is from RNAcentral.
GACGUAGGGGGCCAGCGUUGUUCGGAAUUACUGGGUGUAGAGGGUUCGUAGGCGGUGUAGCAAGUCGGGAGUGAAAUCUCUGGGCUUAACCCAGAGGCUGCUUCCGAAACUGCUGUGCUGGAGUGUGGGAGAGGCGCGUGGAAUUGCAGGUGUAGCGGUGAAAUGUGUAGAUAUCUGCAGGAACACCCGUGGCGAAGGCGGCGCGCUGGACCACUAUUGACGCUGAGGAACGAAAGCUAGGGGAG